Molecule: long non-coding RNA, 2191 nt
Organism: Chenopodium quinoa (quinoa)
Lineage: Eukaryota; Viridiplantae; Streptophyta; Magnoliopsida; Caryophyllales; Amaranthaceae
Exons: 4
Source: RefSeq, a predicted model, not a curated record
CUUCGAUGGACACCAUUCUUUUCAUUUUCCUUGUGAACAGUGUUGUUUUUCUUUUCCUCGUCACUUUUCAACCUCUCUCUCCUUAGUCUUCAGAUUAUGAUCAGUUUGCAAUUUGGUUCUUCUCUCUCCUCAAGGUGAGUUCUUUGAUUUACCCUAAUUUCUUGUAAAAUUUUGAUAUGUCUCCAUAAUUUUUGCUUUUGAGUUCUGCUCUCUUUUUCUUUUGUAAAUUUGUUGUUUCUUUCAAUUUUCAUUAUCGAUUAUCGUUUUUGAGUAGUAGCUAUGUGACUUCUCUAAUGGAAACGGCUUCUAACCUCGGUUCUUCCACCGUCGAUCGUAGUUUCCAGCGAACUCUUUCUCUCUCCUCAGUAAUCGAGCUCAGCUUUCUGUUUCUCUCUCCUGGUUUGUUAUAUCGCAGCUCAUUAUCACUCAUUUAACAUUAAUUUAUGAAUUUGGUUGAUUAUAGUGGUUUUGAUUGAACAUGAUUUGGAUAUUGUGCAAAAGGUAGGGUUUUUUUUUAUGUUUUUUAUUUUGUUGAUUUUUUUUUGGUUUGCAGCAAGAUGACGAGACUUCUAAAAUAGCAAGAGGGUUUUAAUUCUUCUCCCUUUUCUAUGAUUUGAAAUUUUUUAUUGUGUAUAGGACUUUAAAAUUCUUUUGAUUUUUCUGGUGUUUUAUUUUUGUUUUAUAAAAUAGUUAGGAUUUAGGUGUUUUAAUUUUGAGUUUGAUUUAGGAUUUCUGAUGAUUUUUAUAGAUUACCUAAUUGAUUAGUUUAAUUUUGUUUUUAGUUUCUCAAUUUUUAUUGAUUUAGGGUUUAUGAUGAGUUUUGCUUUUGGUUUGUAUCUUAUCAGGAGCAAUUCAGUCUAAUUCAUGUGAUGAAAGUCGGAAUAGGCAUGCAAGCAAAUAGAUGGAGUUUGGUUGAAUUCGGAAUAUGGCACCAAAAUGGAAUGCCUCAUUUCUUCUCCCUGUGAUUUUCUUUUCAGAUUAGUUUAUUCUUUCAAUGUCAUUUGAGGUUGUUUUUGACAAAUAUGGAUUUGAGGAAUGUAGCUUUGGAUUUUUUUUAAUGUUGUUUGAUCCGAGUUACUACAUCGAUUUUUAUGGAUGCAAGUAGAUUAGUAGAUUUAGGUUUUAAAAAAAUUGUUUCACUCGAUUGAUUAGUUUUUGGUUUCAAUUUCAUCGAUUUAUGUGAAAAUUUGCCAAGGAGCGGUGUGCUGAGCUAGAGGAAGAAAGCUAUAAUUACCAUUCAAUCAAAGUAUUUCCUACCAGAUUAUCAGUAAGAUUAUUUGACUCUUGGAUUUACAUUCAAAAAUGACUCCAAUUGGAAUCACUUUUGGCAGAUAAGGCUCGGUCGGCUUAAGAGAAUGCUUUCUAUACUCGUGAGAAUCGCUUUUCACCUGAGGUUGUUGAAUAUCAUCAGCUCACCAUGCAGACUGUUGUUUAUUUAAAUGAGAGGAGUGAAGAAAUAAUGGAAGUUUACCCUGCCAAAGUACCAGGUGGAACUAAUCUGAACACAAUAGCCACAAUGCCAUCUUUAUCACCUCCUGUUAACGCAUCUGAGAUUGUAUUAAAAGAUAACGCGACUUCAAAAUGAGGCACAUCAAGUGAGUCCUCUCUCGUCGUAUACACAGCUAGGCAUCCCUCCCUUUUCUUUUGGUCAAGUUCAUAAUUAGAAGAAAAAUAUAAGAGACCACGCCUCACUAAUCAAUAUCGACCUCACUUCAAUCGACUAGGACUCUGUGAUGCCUGUAUGGGGGACAUUGUGAUGUUUGAACAAACUGUUUAUGAAGGGUAAAUAAAUCGCCUAGAGGAGUGCUACUGGUCCUCCAUGCGGUAAGAGAAUUGUAGCUGGGUGUAUAGUGAAAGAAAGUUAUGGUGCUUCCAAGUAGCAGCAUACAUAUCUGGUUAAUUCUAAAUCAGUGGUUAGCAUACUACUUAUUUUAUAGUGUUACACUUUGUGAUUAGAAAAUGAACUAUAAUGUACUCUGUAGACUAGAAUUUCCAUGCUACAUCACAAUUUCACACUUUACACCCUUAUUCAGCUCAAUUUAUUAUCUUUGUGCCUCUAAUUAUGUAGCUUGGAGAUUCUUGGUCAAGGGACGGAUAUAGUAUUUCUAUUACUUGUACCUGUAGUAUAAUGUUAACAGACUCAUUUAUUUAGUGCUAAAUUCGUCAUCAAAUGGCGUCUUAUUCUUGCCCC